GUGCCUAACACAUGCAAGUCGAACGAGAAAGUGGAGCAAUCCAUGAGUAAAGUGGCGACCGGGUGAGUAACACGUGACUAACCUACCUCCGAGUGGGGAAUAACUCCGGGAAACCGGGGCUAAUACCGCAUAACAUCGCGAGAUCAAAGCAGCAAUGCGCUUGGAGAGGGGGUCGCGGCUGAUUAGCUAGUUGGCGGGGUAACGGCCCACCAAGGCGAAGAUCGGUAUCCGGCCUGAGAGGGCGCACGGACACACUGGAACUGAAACACGGUCCAG
RNAcentral lists this ribosomal RNA (276 nucleotides) under uncultured bacterium. RNAcentral's name for it is "partial 16S ribosomal RNA". It matches the Rfam family "Bacterial small subunit ribosomal RNA", at positions 44 to 334 of the family's 1533-position model. The record is from RNAcentral.